RNAcentral lists this transfer RNA (72 nucleotides) under Camelus bactrianus (Bactrian camel). It matches the Rfam family "tRNA". From Rfam's summary of the family: Transfer RNA (tRNA) molecules are approximately 80 nucleotides in length. Their secondary structure includes four short double-helical elements and three loops (D, anti-codon, and T loops). Further hydrogen bonds mediate the characteristic L-shaped molecular structure. tRNAs have two regions of fundamental functional importance: the anti-codon, which is responsible for specific mRNA codon recognition, and the 3' end, to which the tRNAs corresponding amino acid is attached (by aminoacyl-tRNA synthetases). tRNAs cope with the degeneracy of the genetic code in two manners: having more than one tRNA (with a specific anti-codon) for a particular amino acid; and 'wobble' base-pairing, i.e. permitting non-standard base-pairing at the 3rd anti-codon position. Lineage: Eukaryota; Metazoa; Chordata; Mammalia; Artiodactyla; Camelidae. RNAcentral also lists the same sequence under 2 other names. The record is from Rfam by way of RNAcentral.
GAGGGUAGAGCUCAGUAGUAGAGCACGUUCUUAGCAUGCACAAGGUUCUGGGUUCGAUCCCCAGGACCUCCA